GAUGAAUGCUGGCGGCGUGCCUAAUACAUGCAAGUCGAGCGGUAAGGCCCUUCGGGUACGACGAGCGGCGGACGGCUGAGUAACGCGUGGGAACAUGCCCCAAAGUGAGGGAUAACGCACCGAAAGGUGUGCUAAUACCGCAUAUGGUCUUCGGAUUAAAGGAUUUAUCCGCUUUGGGAGUGGCCCGCGUACGAUUAGUUUGUUGGUGAGGUAAUGGCUUACCAAGACUACGAUCGCAACUGGUCUGAGAGGAUGAUCAGUCAGACUGGAACUGAGACACGGUCCAGACUCCUACGGGAGGGCAGCAGUAAGGAAUCUUCCACAAUGGGCGAAAGCCUGAUGGAGCAACGCCGCGUGCAGAAGAC
RNAcentral lists this ribosomal RNA (365 nucleotides) under uncultured bacterium. RNAcentral describes it as "bacterial SSU rRNA". It matches the Rfam family "Bacterial small subunit ribosomal RNA", at positions 28 to 412 of the family's 1533-position model. The record is from RNAcentral.